AUGGAAGCUAAAAACCUGUCAUUGAAUGACUCCCCGGAUAAGAUCUUGUGGGCCUUUGGUAGCAAAGGGGAGUUUACUACUAAAUCGUUAUAUGAAUGGUUGGAAAGAAAUCUUUCGGGUCCUAACUAUAGGAUGGUGUGGAAAGAACCUAUCCCGCUGAAAAAUUAAAAUUUUCCUUGGCAGCUGUUUCAGAAUGCAGUUCUCACUCGAGAUAAUAUGCGCAUUAGAAACUGGCCUGGAAAUCCUGUUUGCUCCUUCUGUACUGAAGUCGAAACAGCAAAUCAUCUGUUCUUUACCUGUUCUCUUGCUCGUUCGGUUUGGGGGGUGUUGGGCAUGACGGCUGGGGCAUCCUGUUGUCCUUGCUCUCUGUGGAAAAGCUUUGCUUGGCUUUAUAAGUUCUUUCCGGAUGGGAAACAUUUCUAUAUGAUGAUUAUUGCUACAAUAUGCUGGGGGAUUUGGACCAUCCGCAAUAGUCACAUUUGA
This 483-nucleotide ribosomal RNA is filed under the name Triticum aestivum (bread wheat). RNAcentral's name for it is "partial small subunit ribosomal RNA". Lineage: Eukaryota; Viridiplantae; Streptophyta; Magnoliopsida; Poales; Poaceae. The record is from RNAcentral.